GACGAACCGUGCGAACGUUGUUCGGAUUCACUGGGCUUAAAGGGCGCGUAGGCGGGCGCGUAGGUCUUGGGUGAAAUCCCCCAGCUCAACUGGGGGACGGCCCGGGAUACCGCGCGUCUGGAGGGAGGUAGGGGCCGACGGAACUUCCGGUGGAGCGGUGAAAUGCGUAGAUAUCGGAAGGAACGCCGGUGGCGAAAGCGGUCGGCUGGACCUCUACUGACGCUGAGGCGCGAAAGCCAGGGGAGCGAACGGG
This 253-nucleotide ribosomal RNA is filed under the name uncultured bacterium. RNAcentral's name for it is "partial 16S ribosomal RNA". It matches the Rfam family "Bacterial small subunit ribosomal RNA", at positions 524 to 776 of the family's 1533-position model. The record is from RNAcentral.